RNAcentral lists this long non-coding RNA (7656 nucleotides) under Jatropha curcas. RNAcentral's name for it is "long non-coding RNA (JCUR_LNC003328)". The record is from RNAcentral. Lineage: Eukaryota; Viridiplantae; Streptophyta; Magnoliopsida; Malpighiales; Euphorbiaceae.
UGACUCCAAAAAUUGUUAAGUUAAACCAAGUAGAUUUCAACUCUGCCCUUGCUCCUGAAAAAUGGAGCAUUAUCCAGGAAAACACUUUGGCUUCUACUUCCUUAAAUCACUUAACCAAUCUACCUGAUCAACACUUCUCCAACUCUAAAGUACUUUCGCAGGAUGAUAUUUGCGUUAAGCAUCAUGGGGAAAGGUUGAGGGCAUUUAAGCAAACUCUAGCCAAAACGAGUUGUGAAGAUGCCGUUGAGGGUUUAGUCAUGAUUGAUGCUAUCCAACGCCUUGGCAUUGAAUAUAAUUUCCAGGAGGAAAUUGAUGCAAUUUUGAAAAGACAAUAUUUGAUUCCUACCACUAAUGACUAUGAUCUUCAUGAGACUGCCCUUCGCUUUCGACUCUUGAGACAAGAGGGUUACCAUGUCCUCCCAGGUAAUUAAUUGAUUUCCUUUCUCUAAAUUUCUGUUUCUUGGCUAUAAAAAUUACACCAAAAUUCACAACAUGCAUGAUUUCUUUACAGGAGUAUUUAACAACUUUAAAGACGAGGGAAAAUUCAAGAAGGAGCUGACAGAUGACAUCAAAGGACUAAUGGGUUUAUAUGAGGCUUCGCAGCUGAGCAUAGUAGGAGAAGAUAUACUCGAUGAAGCUGCAGACUAUAGUCACAGGCUUCUAAAUUCAUCCACGACACAUCUUGACGAUACUCAAGCCAGAAUAGUAAAGAAUACACUCCAAUACCCACAUCACAAAAGCUUGAGCAGGUUCAUGGCCAAAAACUUCAUUAGAGAUUUUCAGAGGCCAAAUGGGUGGAUGAAUGAACUACAGGAACUAGCGAAGAUUGAUAUGAAGAUGGUCCAGUCUCAACACCAGCAAGAAAUUCUUAAAAUAUCAAGGUUCCAUUAUUAUCAUAAAUGCUUGUGGGUAUUUUGUCCUUGUAAAAGCCUUAACCACGUAAUAAUUAAUGUUGAUAUUUUUCCUUUGGUGGGACUAUUUAGGUGGUGGAAAGAAGUGGGUUUGUCUAAAGAACUAAAGUUCGCAAGAAACCAGCCACUAAAAUGGUAUAUGUGCUCCAUGGAGACCCUUGCAGAUCCAAGCUUAUCAGAGCAGAGAGUAGACCUCACAAAACCCAUCUCUUUUAUUUUUUUAAUAGAUGACAUCUUCGACGUUUAUGGGACUCUAGAUGAACUUAUAUUAUUUACAGAUGUUAUUAACAGGUAUAUAAAUUGUAAAGUCCCUGGAAUAUCAAAUAUGAAACAGAUUUUAUCAAGCAAUUUAAGUAAUAACAGUUAAUUAAACUAAUUAACUAAUUAUCUACAUGCAUAGAUGGGACAUUGCAGCCGCUGAACAACUGCCAGACCACAUGAGGAUCUGCUUCAUGGCUCUUGACAAUAUCACUGAUGAAAUUAGUCACAAGGUCUAUAAACAGCUCGGCUGGAAUCCUGUAGACUCUCUGCGAAAAACGGUACAGGAAAACAAGAAACUCUUAUGUAUACAGAAACUAAAUUUUAAAUUUCCACAAGAUUGAUUAUAAUCAGAGGUCCUUUACGAUUCUCGCAGUGGGCCAGUUUGUGCAAUGCAUUUCUAGUAGAAGCAAAAUGGUUUGGUUCUGGACAGUUGCCAAACGCCGAAGAAUACUUGAAGAAUGGAAUUAUUAGUUCAGGCGUUCACGUGGUUCUGGUGCACAUUUUCUUUCUACUGGGUCAUGGUGUUACCAAGGAAAAUGUGGAACUCAUUGACAAUCAUCCACCCAUAAUGUCUUCUACCGCUGCAAUUCUUCGUCUCUGGGAUGACUUGGGAAGUGCCAAGGUACUAUAUUUUCGUGCCAAAAUCAAACUGAAAUAUUAUUUUAAGAUGUACAAAGUAAUAGUAAUGGGAAAGUAUAUAUGCAGGAUGAGGAUCAGGAUGGGCAUGAUGGAUCGUACGUGGAAUGUUACAUGAAGGAAUAUAAAGGAUGUUCGGUAGAAAGUGUAAGAAAGAAGGUAAACGACAUGAUUUCAAAUGCAUGGAAACAGCUCAACCAAGAAUGCCUCUCGCCAACUCCAUUUUCAUCGACUUUCAACAAAGCUUGUCUUAAUCUUGCAAGAAUGGUUCCAUUAAUGUACGGUUAUGACGAUUGCCAAAACCUUCCACUUCUUGAAAGCCAUGUCAAGUCUAUCCUGCCGGACAAUUUCUCUUAAUUGUACUGUAAAACAGUAAUUCUGAAAAUAAUCAUGUAUUUGAUAAUUCCUCGUUAUAAUAGCAAUGUAAAGAGGAUAGGAAAAUAAAGAAGUUUCAGUAAGGGUGAAUUACAGUUUAAUAUCUUUAAUUUGUAAAAUAUUUUAAAUUAAGAUCUCUAUUUUGAAAAAUUAAUUCAAUAUCUCUCUGUUUUGUUGACAUUCAACAUCCAUAUUUUAUAUUUUAUAAUUUUAUAUUAUAGUUUCUAGAAUACGCUGACAUAAUCAUGUUUUACUCUAGCUUUAGAUUCGAGUUUAAUUUUAAAUUUUGUCUUUAAGGUUCCAAAUAAUUGUUGUCCCAUCGAUAUAGUACAAAUUUUUAACAAGUAAUAAAACACAAGCAUUCCUCUCUUCAUGUUCGUCUUCAUCUUCUCCAUAGCUAGAAAACACGACACAAUUACGCAACAUUCUAAAAAAUAUUGAAAUACAUAUAGCAUUAUAAAAUGAGUGAUCAGUGCUCAAAAAUAUUUCAGACCGUAGACUGAAAGGAAACAAACACUUUAACAUUUCUUGAAACGACAAAAGAGUUAAAUUGAUUGCACAAGAUUAUGUUUGUUUUGGUUAGACAUAUGCACGUUAUUAUAUGUAUCUCAAGCAACUGCUGAUAGUCAUGGCAAUUGUUUUUGAAACCGACAAGUACUUGUUUUGGUCUUGACCACGUUUGUUAUUCUCAUUUCCACUCCCAUGCUCGACACACCUUCUCUCCACCAAUCAUGCGUAAAAACUUAUAUUUGUAAUUUAUAAUUUAUUUUUUAUAGAUAAAUUUACUAUGAUAUAUUAAAAUAAAAAAUUAAAAACAUGCGAAAAAAACUCAUCCUAUCUUCCUAAAGAUAGUAAUUUUACCCAAGUCAUCGGUAUCUAAUCCCACCCAAUUUUAACAUAUUCGAGUAAUAAAAAAUGGAUAUUGAAGUAAUAUUUUAUUUAUGAUUUUUCUUGUUUUUAUUUUCAAAAAAUAAAAAAAUAAUACUUUUAAUGUUAAAAAUGUUAAAAUGAGUAAUUGUAAUAGAAUUUGAGACGGAUUUAAAUAAUAGAAGUAAAAUUUUGAUGUAUUUUAAAUUGAGGUUGACCUUGUCAGAAAUUCAAAUCGACUAAAUAGCAAAUCCACAAAAUAGAUAUAAAAGUGAAAAAUUAACUAGCUAAUUAUUUAAUACUAAUAUUUGAAUAUUGAUGGACCCGAAUCCAAAUAAGUACAUACCAUAUAUUUUCCCCGCCGCGUGGGUUCUAACUGUGGGAUCCCUCCAACAUGUGUGACCCACACAAGUUUGAAGAAAGAAAAAAAAGGAAAUAUACCACGUUUUUUUAUAAAGGUCAAACAAGGCUGCAGAUAAAGAAAAAAAAAAAAAAGAAGAGAAAAACGUGUUAUUUGAAAAAGAAAGAAAAGUUGGCAAUCUUCUUUGAUAAAGUAUAAAGAUGUGAAUGAGUUAUACACGACUCAUUCAAUGAGCUGCCUAUAAAAGGAGGAUUAUAAUUUUGGAAAUUGGCUGAUAAUGACAACACAGGUCACAUGAAAGUGAUAUUCCAAGACUUUCCAGGAGGUGCAGAUGGUUUUGAGCUAGUUGCAAGGUUUUGCUACAACAAUGGCAAAAUUGAGAUAACUCCCUCUAAUAUAGUUCUACUAAAUUCUGCUGCUUAUUUCAUGGAAAUGGGAAAUAAUAGUAGUAGCUCAGCAACACUCAACUUAAUAGACCAAAUAGAAAAUUCUCUUGAAGAGAUUAAUUACUGGACUUGGUGACCUCCUUGUAGCUUUCAAACAAUGCCAAGAAAUAUUUCCUGCAACAAAUUCGUCAAUUCUACUUGAGAAAUUAUUGAACUCCAUUGUCGAAAAGCUUGCUAUGUCUACUGCAAGUCCAUUUAGAUUUUGCUCAGAGAAUUUUAGUUCCCAGCUUUCCUCUGAUGCAAGCAGCAUUUCUAGUACAAGAAACAACUGCUAUCUACCCACUUGUUGGUUUCAAGAUCUUUUGUUCUUGAAUUUCAACUUUCUCGACAAAGUGAUCAGGAUGAUGAUAUCCCUUAAAUUAAACCAUGUUAUCAUUUUUAAGUUUCUCAUCUUUUACAUGAAAUCAAGACUUCUUAGUAUUGGACUUGAUCAGAAGCGCCAAAUGGUAGAAGCUGUAAUAAGUAUGCUUCCAUUACUCGAUAAGAAUUGUCUUUCUUGCAAGGGCUUAUUUGAUAUUCUUCGAGUCAUCUCAAGCUUGAAAACAAUUAGAAAAUGCUACAAAAUCAAGUUAGAGAGAUUAAUAGGUUCACAGCUUGAUCAAGUAACUUUGGAUCAUCUGCUAAUUCGACCUCCCAAUAGGAAAAUUUAUACCAUGUACGAUGUGAAUUUGGUUUUAAGGCUUGCAGAAGCCUAUUUGCUUCAAGGUUGGAUAAGUCCAAGUCGGUUGAAUAAGGUUGCUUGCUUGAUUGAUUCCUAUCUAAUAGAAAUAGCUUUAGAUUUUCGUCUGAAACCUUCCACAUUCGCGGCAUUACUGUCAGUGCUUCCAGAUUCUGCAAGAAAAACUAGUGACAGACAAUACCAAGCCAUUGACUUAUACAUUGAGGUAUAUGUUCAUGUUUUUUUCUUUUAUUUUUAAUUUGAGAAAUAUUAUUACUGACUCUGGUGCUUUUCAGGUCCAUACUCAAUUAAAGGAAGAAGAAAAGGUUAAGUUAUAUUCUGCACUGAAUCAAACAAAACUAUCGGCCGAAGCUUCGCAAGCUCAAACUUACAAGGUUUACAUUACGCAGCAAUCCAAGCAUAGUAGCUCAAUCAUCAAAUUGUUUAAUGGUAAGUUAAAGAAAAAUGGUAGAGAAGAAGCUGAGCAAGUCCUUUCUUUCACAAUAAAGCAAGAACAUUCAAGGGAAACUGGGAAUCUUGAAACACACUUGCAACAAAUGCAGUUGAGAGUUGCAGAACUUGAAAAAAUUGUACAAUGAUGGAAUCCCACAUGCCAAAUGUAGCGGAACAAAGAUUGUGUAGAUCAGGCAAAGUUAUAUCGUUGCCAAAACUUUGUUCAUGAUAGAAAAUUAAUGUAUUAAUUAUGUAUAUACGUAGAUUUUGAUGUUUUUCCAAGUACAACCUCUUCUAACAUAGGAGACGGGAAUUCCAACCUUAAUUGUCCAUCUUCUAAUACAAAUUAGAGUGGUUAAUUAAGCACAAUAUUGUCGUUUUACCUAUUGGAAAAAUCAAUACAAAGUGCGCAUCUAUGUCUUCCUUUCCCAAAACCAAGAAUAAUUAAGAGAUGAAUGGAUGUUUCUGAAGAAUAUCUAUAUAGACUGCUGAGCCUACUCAGAGUCGAUUGAGCCAGCGAGCUAUGCGGGAAAAGGCACGCUCAUUUGAGAAAUCCGAAGCCCAAACUGUAAUUAAUGACGUUUCAGAAACCAAAGCAUUUUCUUACCAUACAUUAGUGUUCUUGUAAACGACAAACAGAUGUACAAAAACAAAACUCUCCAAUACUACUCUGGUAGAGCCACCAUACCUUCAGUAUCCUUCGUUUACCAACAAGUUACCUCAUCUUCAAUUAAACUAGGAAGUAAAGUAAUGGUAUAAUGGUAUAAAAACCUUCCAAGGGAACAUAAUCUUGAAAUGAAAUUAAUUUCAUACUCACAAAUUCCUAAAACGAAAUUAAUCUCAUACUCACAAAAAUAUCAGAAAGUCAUUUUCGAAUAUAUAAAAUUGCUUAUUUAAAUUUUUAAAGAGAAAUCCUUAAUUAACAAAUAAAAAAAGUUCUAUGGGUUUUCACAUUUUAUAAUUUUGAUUUAUGGAGAAAGCAAAGAAAUAAUCAUAUGAUGAUUGAUCAGUAGUCAAACAUAGAAGAGAGGCACUCAAGAAAUAAAUAUGCAUGUGUCUUUCUCCUUUUGGAAAGAGUGAUAAUUAAUUACCAUGGAGUUUUGUGAGCUUUAAAUUAUCUUCUCUUCUUCUUCUUUUUUUUUUUUUUUGAAAAAAAAAAAAUUGGCCAUUUAAAACUCAACUAGACCAACAUUCUUGAAAUCACCAUUGCAAUUUUCUAACAAAAACAUGUUUGAUGACAGUUAUUUUUUUUUUUCAAGUCUCAAAUUUGUUGGAAGAAGGGAGCAUUUAUGAGUGGUAGAGUCGAGAAACGUUUUCUUUCGGUUUAUGUGCCCCAGAUCAAAAUUUCUAAACAGGCCUUCACCAUGUAUUGGGUGACAGUAAUAAAAGUUGUUGGCCCAUAUGACAUGGGCCAAAUCUCACGGGCUUUGCUAUAAAUGUAUUUUUGAGGGCCUACUUGGGCCAUGGAACUAUAGAUGUACAAUACAGCCCACUUGAUCACCCGAAAACGAUGUCGUUGAAAAAAUUUUAGCUACUUACAAAUCGAAAGAAGUUCGUUUCAUACCGUCCCUGUCGUCUUGUCGUCGCAAACCAUAUUUUUUUCACUUGGAAUAAUUAAAAUAUAAAAAAUAAAACAUAAAUAUGGUUUUCAAUUAAAAUGUGACUUUUCAACAAAUGACUUCAAUUAAUUCCUCAUAAGAUAAGAAAUUUAAAACGAAAAUUCUUUUAUACCCUUAAAUAUAAUCAGGCAAAUAUAUAAAUAAACAUAAACUUGAAUGAAGUCCUCCAUCAGCACUUUAAUAUUUUCAUUAACAUAAAUUAAAAGAUAUUUAGUUAUAUUCUUAGCUAGAUGGAGAGGAAUUCCCUCAGUCACUGCUCACGAGUCAGGCGGCUUAGAUACAUAAAAAAAUUUUAAAAAUCGUGAUUGAGAUUGUUGCAAAAAUCUUACUCACACAAGAUGUUUCUGUCUGGGGCAAGAAAAGACUUUGAAACGAUGUAAAGGUCACAUUAAUUCUGCAAUGAGUAACACGUGCUUCUCAACUUUAAGACCAAAAAAAAAAAAAGAAAAAGAAAAAAAACACGUGAUGAGUUCGGUCCUAUCUAUUAUAAAUUAAGUAAGAUAAUCAGAGUAUUUCUAACCAUACACGUAUAAAUUUAAAAAAAGAAAAAAAACAAAACCACUUGCCCCAGGAUUUAGGCAAGAAAUUUUGUUAUAAAUUAAGCUCAUCAGCAUUAAUUCUGUGUGCAGAAACAUUUGAUAGAAUUAAUCUCUCACAAGUCACGAUGGCAUUGACUAUUAAAGCAUCCUUUACUUCUUCUCACACUCCAUUUCCUAAAAAGCAAUCUCCAAAAAUUGUUAAGUUAAACCAAGUAGAUUUCAACUCUGCCCUUGCUCCUGAAAAAUGGAGCAUUAUCCAGGAAAACACUUUGGCUUCUACUUCCUUAAAUCACUUAACCAAUCUACCUGAUCAACACUUCUCCAACUCUAAAGUACUUUCGCAGGAUGAUAUUUGCGUUAAGCAUCAUGGGGAAAGGUUGAGGGCAUUUAAGCAAACUCUAGCCAAAACGAGUUGUGAAGAUGCCUUUGAAGGUUUAGUCAUGAUUGAUGCUAUCCAACGCCUUGGCAUUGAAUGUAAUUUCCAGGAGGAAAUUGAUGCAAUUUUGAAAAGACAAUAUUUGAUUCCUACC